UUUUAAACUGGAAAAUCCCUGAUGAAAAGCACAGCGCUCUGUUGGCUAGCCCAGGCUCUGCCUAUGGAAAUGAUUUGUUGUUGUCAUUCAGAAGAGCACUGAGUUUGAUGCCUCUAUUAUGUCUCCCUUGCAUAUGCAUAUGAAUUCCCUUGAGCAGGGGAUGGGGAGCGGCUUCAACUUUUUCCUGGAAGCCUCUGUACCUGGGAAGGUGCAGGAGGCACAUGUCUCUUGCUCUUGGAGAGGACAGGCCUCCAGAAGCCUUUUGGUUUUAGAUGACUUCUCCGACCCUUUUGCUGUAAAUAAGUUUGGGUCUUUGAUGCUAUCUCUGAUUGUGUUUGUCUUGGUCUAUGCAGAGUGCUGUAGAGAUGUACGUGCCAAAUUUCCUUCUCACGUGUAAAUUCAGAUGGAGAGACCCUGGUUAUCCAGAUGGCUGUGGGGAUAUUGCAUUGUUCUGGGAGAGCUUAAGACCUGGAGCACUGCAGGUGGCAGUUUGGGAGACCAGGGAAAAGAGGGGCUGACCCUGUGCUGGUGAGGAGAAGGGACUGGUUGUGUGGCUGAGGGGCACUGUCUGACCCUGGGUCCUCUCCCAGGUUUUACCACCCGUGCUCUGUGACAGUGGCCACAGUGAGGCUUUUAUUAUUACACCUUCUUUUUAAGUGUGAAGUCUUGUGCUGAAGGUCUGUCUGAGUGUUAAACUACACUGCUCUCUCUUACCACUCUCA
Molecule: long non-coding RNA, 722 nt
Organism: Strigops habroptila (Kakapo)
Lineage: Eukaryota; Metazoa; Chordata; Aves; Psittaciformes; Psittacidae
Exons: 3
Source: RefSeq, a predicted model, not a curated record